UUUUAAUUUAUGUAUUUACAGUGGAAACACUAAACAAUGAUAAUGGCCUAUUAAUGAGGGAGAUGCCGAUUCAGCAGCGGAUGGCAGCGGCAACGGCAGUAGAAGCAGCGACAUCUACAAUGUCGGAUGUGAGUAUACUAUACAAAUAACCGAACCAAUCAGCACAUCGCUAGCGUCCCGUGGUGUUAUAUGCAGAUCGGCACUCUCCUGUUUGCCAUUAAGCUCUUCGGGUUCUACAACCUGCGGUAGUACUGUCAAUCGAAAAGCCACAGCUAUUACAGCGUUGCUGAAUCUACAUUCUUGGCUUCGGCCCAUACGGUUCAUCGACCGGUGCCGCUAAUUAUCUGGGACGCAUACUAGCAUAAAACGAUAGGAAAUUAUUAUUUUUGAGAACCGCAUACAUUACACCAAAUCGUUAAUACUUGAUGACAACGAACUCAUAUUCUUCGGCGAGGAGGGUAAAUCCGAAGUAUGUUUAGGCAGUGUAAUUUUCUAGUUCCAAUGCAUUUUCUGUUGUUGUGUUGCAUUUUAGCAUUAAGAGGGAAAUGACCAUAAAUGAGUUAACGCAGCUGUAAAGUGAAAUUCCUGAAAUGCAUUGCAGCUGAUGAUCGGCUAACCUGUU
This is a non-coding RNA of Bactrocera oleae (olive fruit fly), 622 nucleotides long. Lineage: Eukaryota; Metazoa; Arthropoda; Insecta; Diptera; Tephritidae. The record is from RefSeq and is a predicted model, not a curated record.